UCAACCGAGCCGAGGAGGAGG
Molecule: microRNA, 21 nt
Filed under: Oryza sativa (Asian cultivated rice)
Lineage: Eukaryota; Viridiplantae; Streptophyta; Magnoliopsida; Poales; Poaceae
Description: osa-miR2091-5p
Source: miRBase by way of RNAcentral